AUUUGAAAUCUGGCCUCGGCCCGAGUUGUAAUUUGCAGAGGAUGCUUCUGGCGCGGUGCCUUCCGAGUUCCCUGGAACGGGACGCCAAAGAGGGUGAGAGCCCCGUAUGGUCGGACACCAAGCCUGUGUGAAGCUCCUUCGACGAGUCGAGUAGUUUGGGAAUGCUGCUCUAAAUGGGAGGUAAAUCUCUUCUAAAGCUAAAUACCGGCCAGAGACCGAUAGCGCACAAGUAGAGUGAUCGAAAGAUGAAAAGCACCUUGAAAAGGGGGUUAAAUAGUACGUGAAAUUGUUGAAAGGGAAGCACUUAUGACCAGACUUGGGCCGGGCGGCUCAUCAGGGGUUCUCCCCUGUGCACUCCGCCCGGUACAGGCCAGCAUCGGUUUUCGCGGGGGGAUAAGACGGUCGGGAACGUAGCACCCUCCGGGGUGUGUUAUAGCCUGGCUGACGAUACCCUUCGCGGGGACC
Molecule: ribosomal RNA, 465 nt
Filed under: Diaporthe caatingaensis
Lineage: Eukaryota; Fungi; Ascomycota; Sordariomycetes; Diaporthales; Diaporthaceae
Description: partial large subunit ribosomal RNA
Rfam family: Eukaryotic large subunit ribosomal RNA
Source: RNAcentral